CCAACACGUGUUCUAACUCCAGCGCAGUGGAAGUGUCAACCCACUGGUCACCUGUCUUGGGUGUUAUCGAGACUGUUGUAUACAUUCCACCUCAGGAUAAGACAAAUAACACGUUGGCACUUAAAACAAACUCUACAAGUCUAUAAACAAGCAAGAGAACCAACAUCCAGGGGCUGCUUUUCUGGUUGCUGGAGACUUUAAUUUUGCGUCACUAAGACACCAUCAACAUUUCUCCAAUGCCACUAGGGGCGAUAAAGUCCUAGGCCACUGUUAUUCUACCCACAAGCAAGCAUACAAGGCCCUCCCUCAUCCACCAUUUGGCAAAUCAGAUAAUGACUCCGUACUCUUGCUUCAUAUUUACGAGCAGAAACUCAAACAGGAAGUACCCGUGACUCGCUCUGUUGAGAAAUGGUCACCAGAAUUAGAGAUGAUGCUACAGGACUGCUUUGCUAGCAGUGAUUGGAAUAUGUUUAGAGACUCCGCCAAUAAUAUUGAUGAGCUAACCACCUCAGACACUGGCUUCAUCAGAAAAUGUAUCAGCGACGUUGUCCCCACGGUGAGGGUUCUCAGCUUCCCCAAUCAAAUGCCCUGGAUUAACACCGAGAUUGGAACUAAACUAAAGAACAGGGCUACAACACACAGAGCUAUCGUAGACAACCCUGAGGAUAUGGCCGAGAACAGGAAUAAGUACAUGAAGUCCCGCUAGGACCUCCGCAAAGUCAUUAAACGAGCGAAAUGACAAUAUAGGAAUAAGAUCAAAUCAUACUACACAGGUUCCGACGCCCGCCGCAUGUGGCAGGGGCUACAGUCCGUUAGGUUAGUGCAUCAUUUUAGCUGGUUUUAUGGUUUUGGUGACCCUGUCUUUGACUUGACAAAACAUUACACACAACUCUUGUAAAUGUACUGUCCUAACAUACCUCUUGGGGCUAGGUGGGACGCUAGCGUGCCACCCGUGGUGCACUCCAUCAACAGCAGGUGCAUUUCAAGAGCGGCAAAUUUGAAUCCAAAUAAAUGUCAAAAUUCAAAUUUUUCAAAAAUACAACUAUUUUACACCAUUUGAAAGAUAAACAUCUCCUUAAUCUAACCACGUUUUACGAUUUCAAAAAGGUUUUACGGCGAAAGCAUAAAUUUAGAGUAUGUUAGGACAGUACAUUUACAAGAGUUGUGUGUAAUGUUUUGUCAAGUCAAAGACAGAGUCACCAAAACCAUAAAAUCAGCUAAAAUGAUGCACUAACCUUUUACAAUCUCCAUCAGAUGACACUCCUAGGACAUUAUGUUAG
RNAcentral lists this long non-coding RNA (1280 nucleotides) under Salmo salar (Atlantic salmon). Its description in RNAcentral is "lncRNA (ENSSSAG00000113901.1)". The record is from RNAcentral. Lineage: Eukaryota; Metazoa; Chordata; Actinopteri; Salmoniformes; Salmonidae.